UACAUGGGGUGCAAACGUUGCUCGGAAUUAUUGGGCGUAAAGCGCGCGUAGGCGGUUGCUCAAGUCGGAUGUGAAAGCCCUCGGCUUAACUGAGGAAGUGCACCCGAAACUGAGCAGCUAGAGUACUAACGAGGGUCGCGGAAUUCCCGGUGUAGUGGUGAAAUGCGUAGAUAUCGGGAGGAACACCAGUGGCGAAGGCGACUACCUGGCCUGUUCUUGACGCUGAGGCGCGAAAGCUGGGGGAGCAAACGGG
RNAcentral lists this ribosomal RNA (253 nucleotides) under uncultured bacterium. Its description in RNAcentral is "partial 16S ribosomal RNA". It matches the Rfam family "Bacterial small subunit ribosomal RNA", at positions 524 to 776 of the family's 1533-position model. The record is from RNAcentral.